Hibiscus syriacus is the source of this 323-nucleotide long non-coding RNA. RefSeq lists it as uncharacterized. NCBI's taxonomy places the organism in Eukaryota, Viridiplantae, Streptophyta, Magnoliopsida, Malvales, Malvaceae. The transcript has 3 exons. The record is from RefSeq and is a predicted model, not a curated record.
ACGUUAUCCUUCUACAUGAAAAGAACAAUUGAGGUUGACUAAACUUGAAGAGCUUGGUUUGAAUGGUAAUUUGCUCGACAACAGCAUAUUUUCAUCCCUAAGUGCACUUCCAAAUUUGAAGUUUUUGGAUUUAGGCUAUAACCGAUUGGGAGGGCCGAUAAAUAUUAAAGAAUUAGAUGGUUUGAGCAACUUGGAGGAACUGCAUAUUGGCUGCCAUUCAGGUUGCAGCCUUCCACAACAAUUACUAAGCUCAUUCUCCUCAUUGAAGGCUCUAUCCUUGAGUGGAUUAACAACAAUGGCUUUUCGUUCUCACAAUAGUAAGU